Molecule: non-coding RNA, 513 nt
Organism: Podarcis lilfordi (Lilford's wall lizard)
Lineage: Eukaryota; Metazoa; Chordata; Lepidosauria; Squamata; Lacertidae
Source: the annotation of a GenBank genome assembly
UGUACUUUUUGAGAAUACUAAGGAAAAACCAUCUUCCGCAGAAACUGCUGCUUGCCUUCUAUCACUGUGCCAUUGAGAGCGUGCUCACUUAUGGCUUAUGUGUGUGGUACGGAAGCUGUACUACCCAGGACAGGAUGGGGUUGUGCAGGGUUGUUAAGGCAGCAGAGAGCAUUGUUGGCUGCCCACUCUCCACCUUAGAGCAGAUUUAUGCCACAAGGUGCCAUAGGAAGGCACUGGACAUAGUAAAAGAUCCAUCGCAUCCUGGUCACUGUCUCUUCGAGCUCUUGCCGUCGGGACGGAGAUACAGGACGAUGAAGACAAGAACGAGCCGUCUUAAGAACAGCUUCUUCUCCAGAGCGAUCUCGGCCCUGAAUGGGAAGCCCGGACUUUGAAAGUCAUCUAAUCUCCCUUGCUGUAUUAUACUGUAUUGUUUAAUUAGUGUUUUUAUGGAGCAGUCAAGUAAUUUCGUUGUCCCCGAAGGGGGGCAAUGACAAUAAAGAUAUUAUUAUUAUU